CUGCUCCUCCUCCUCGCGGUGGCCGGGGCCGUGCUCCGCCCGGCCGCGGCGGAGAUCAAGCAGGAGUCCUUCAAGGAUGACUCCCGCGGGACCAUCCUCUUCGAGAAGUUCGGCUUCUCGCACCGCGGGUCCGUCUCCAUCGCGCUCACCGGCGCCAAGGCCGUCUCCAAGCUCGCCAAGCCGGACCCCGCGCAGCUCGGCUUCUUCCUCCUCUCCGACGAGGCCCUCUUCGAGGCCAUCUACGAGCAGCCGCCGCCCACGGAUCUGAACCCCAACCCCGACCCCAACACGGGCUGCGUCCUCGCCAGCCGCUACGUCAUCCCGCUCUUCACCUUCGCCGACCUCGACGCCAGCGGCAACUACAAGAAGACCUUCCCCGUCUCCCACCCCGACGAGUACAGCCUCUUCUUCGCCAACUGCGCGCCCGAGACCGCCGUCACCAUGGAGGUACGCACCGACAUGUACAACACCAACCCGGACGGCUCCAAGGACUACCUCUCCGUCGGCCAGGCCCCCGUCCCGACGAUCUACGCCUUUUUCGCGCUCGGCUACGUCGCCUUCCUGGCCGCCUGGCUCUACCUCACCCUCUACCACAACCGCCUCUCGGCGCACCGCAUCCACCACCUCAUGUCCUGCCUGCUCCUCGCCCGUAUGCUCUACUGCAUCUCGGCCGCCGAGGACCAGCACUACAUCCGCGUCGCUGGAUCUUCCCAUGGGUGGGACGUCAUGUUCUAUCUCUUCCAGCUUGUUAAGGGUGUGAUCUUGUUCGCGGUGAUCGCGCUGAUUGGUACCGGGUGGUCGUUCCUCAAGCCCUUCCUGCAGGACAAGGAGAAGAAGGUGCUCAUGGUGGUGAUCCCGUUGCAGGUUGCAGCUAACAUUGCUGCAGCUGUCGUUGGUGAGACCGGGCAAUACUUGCAAGCAUGGGUGACAUGGAACCAGAUCUUCUUGUUUGUUGAUGUAGCCUGCUGCUGCGCGGUGCUCUUCCCAGUUGUGUGGUCGAUGCGAUCGCUGCGAGAGUCAUCCAAGACAGAUGGCAAGGCUGCCCGAACCCUCGCCAAGCUCACGCUCUUCCGCCAGUUCUACGUCGUCGUGAUUGGAUACUUGUACUUCACAAGGAUCAUUGUCUAUGCGCUCAAGACAAUCACCAACUACAAGUACAGAUGGGUGAGUGUUGCGGCAGAGGAGGUGGCCACCAUGGCAUUCUACAUGUUCAUGUUCUACAUGUUCAAGCCGGCUGAGAGGAACCAGUACUUUGCUCUGGAUGACGAUGAGGAGGAGGCUGCGGAGAUGGCUCUCCGUGAGGAGGAGUUCGAGCUCUAG
RNAcentral lists this ribosomal RNA (1320 nucleotides) under Triticum aestivum (bread wheat). RNAcentral describes it as "partial small subunit ribosomal RNA". The record is from RNAcentral. Lineage: Eukaryota; Viridiplantae; Streptophyta; Magnoliopsida; Poales; Poaceae.